AUGCCCCUGGACUUCACCAAGCACUUCGUCGCGGUGCCGAUGGAGUUCAAGCUCAGGAACAACACCGGCUGCUCCUGGAAGGUGAUGGUGAAGCUGAGGAAUGGCAGGGUGACCCUGGAUCAGGGUUGGGCCACCUACGCAGCCAUUCAUCAGAUAAAGAUCGACUACAUGGUGACGUUCAAGCUCCUCACUCCCGACACCCUCAAGGUCAUCAUCUUCGACGACGAUGGCAUUGAGGUCGUCAACAAGUGCGGGAAGCACGACGAAGCCUUCGCCGCCAAGGAGUAG
Molecule: ribosomal RNA, 288 nt
Filed under: Triticum aestivum (bread wheat)
Lineage: Eukaryota; Viridiplantae; Streptophyta; Magnoliopsida; Poales; Poaceae
Description: partial small subunit ribosomal RNA
Source: RNAcentral